This 495-nucleotide ribosomal RNA is filed under the name uncultured bacterium. RNAcentral describes it as "partial 16S ribosomal RNA". It matches the Rfam family "Bacterial small subunit ribosomal RNA", at positions 28 to 507 of the family's 1533-position model. The record is from RNAcentral.
GACGAACGCUGGCGGCGUGCCUAAUACAUGCCAGUAGAACGCUGAAGGAGGAGCUUGCUUCUCUGGAUGAGUUGCGAACGGGUGAGUAACGCGUAGGUAACCUGCCUGGUAGCGGGGGAUAACUAUUGGAAACGAUAGCUAAUACCGCAUAAUAGCAGUUAUUGCAUGAUAACUGUUUGAAAGGUGCAAUUGCACCACUACCAGAUGGACCUGCGUUGUAUUAGCUAGUUGGUGGGGUAACGGCUCACCAAGGCGACGAUACAUAGCCGACCUGAGAGGGUGAUCGGCCACACUGGGACUGAGACACGGCCCAGACUCCCACGGGAGGCAGCAGUAGGGAAUCUUCGGCAAUGGACGGAAGUCUGACCGAGCAACGCCGCGUGAGUGAAGAAGGUUUUCGGAUCGUAAAGCUCUGUUGUAAGAGAAGAACGAGUGUGAGAGUGGAAAGUUCACACUGUGACGGUAUCUUACCAGAAAGGGACGGCUAACUACGUG